GACGAACGCUGGCGGCGUGCUUAACACAUGCAAGUCGAACGGAAAGGCCCUGCUUUUGUGGUGUGCUCGAGUGGCGAACGGGGGAGUAACACGUGAGUAACCUGCCCUUGACUUUGGGGUAACUUCAGGAAACUGGGGCUAAUACCGGAUAGGAUCUCCUGCUGCAUUGUGGGGGUUGGAAAGUUUCGGCGGUUGGGGAUGGACUCGCGGCUUAUCAGCUUGUUGGUGGGGUAGUGGCUUACCAAGGCUUUGACGGGUCGCCGGCCUGAGAGGGUGACCGGCCACAUUGGGACUGAGAUACGGCCCAGACUCCUACGGGAGGCAGCAGUGGGGAAUAUUGCACAAUGGGCGGAAGCCUGAUGCAGCAACGCCGCGUGCGGGAUGACGGCCUUCGGGUAGUAAACCGCUUUCGCCUGUGACGAAGCGUGAGUGACGGUAAUGGGUAAAGAAGCACCGGCUAACUACGUG
This 468-nucleotide ribosomal RNA is filed under the name uncultured bacterium. RNAcentral describes it as "partial 16S ribosomal RNA". It matches the Rfam family "Bacterial small subunit ribosomal RNA", at positions 28 to 507 of the family's 1533-position model. The record is from RNAcentral.